Molecule: ribosomal RNA, 356 nt
Filed under: uncultured bacterium
Lineage: Bacteria
Description: bacterial SSU rRNA
Rfam family: Bacterial small subunit ribosomal RNA
Source: RNAcentral
GGGGAAACCCGGCUAAUACCGCAUACGUCCUACGGGAGAAAGCGGGCCUCUACACUAUGCUCGCACUCGAGAUGAGCCCACGUCCGAUUAGCUAGUUGGUAGGGUAAAGGCCUACCAAGGCCACGAUCAAUAGCUGGCGUGAGAGCGCGACCAGCCACACUGGAACUGAGACACGGUCCAGACUCCUACGGGAGGCAGCAGUAGGGAAUAUUGGACAAUGGGCGAAAGCCUGAUCCAGCCAUGCCGCGUGAUAGAUGAAGGCCCUCUGGGUUGUAAAUAUCUUUUAUCUGGGAAGAAACACUUCUAUUCUUAGAAGCUUGACGGUACCAGAGGAAUAAGCACCGGCUAACUCCGUG